GACGAACGCUGGCGGCGUGCUUAACACAUGCAAGCCGAACGGAAAGGCCCUGCUUGCCGGGUACUCGAGUGGCGAACGGGUGAGUAACACGUGGGUGAUCUGCCCUGCACUUCGGGAUAAGCCUGGGAAACUGGGUCUAAUACCGGAUAGGAGCCAUUUUUAGUGUGAUGGUUGGAAAGUUUUUUCGGUGUAGGAUGAGCUCGCGGCCUAUCAGCUUGUUGGUGGGGUAAUGGCCUACCAAGGCGGCGACGGGUAGCCGGCCUGAGAGGGUGGACGGCCACAUUGGGACUGAGAUACGGCCCAGACUCCUACGGGAGGCAGCAGUGGGGAAGAUUGCACAAUGGGCGCAAGCCUGAUGCAGCGACGCCGCGUGGGGGAGGACGGCCUUCGGGUUGUAAACUCCUUUCGCUAGGGACGAAGCUUUUUGUGACGGUACCUAGAGAAGAAGCACCGGCUAACUACGUG
Molecule: ribosomal RNA, 465 nt
Filed under: uncultured bacterium
Lineage: Bacteria
Description: partial 16S ribosomal RNA
Rfam family: Bacterial small subunit ribosomal RNA
Source: RNAcentral